This is a long non-coding RNA of Erigeron canadensis, 613 nucleotides long. RefSeq lists it as uncharacterized. Lineage: Eukaryota; Viridiplantae; Streptophyta; Magnoliopsida; Asterales; Asteraceae. The transcript is spliced from 3 exons. The record is from RefSeq and is a predicted model, not a curated record.
ACAGCAGAUCCUCAUGGAAUAUCACCACAGGCCACCCUAAAAAUCCCCAAAGAACGCUAUAACCACCGCCGCCAUCAUCGAUGAUCAACAAACCAUCCACCAUCUCCGUACCCCUGGUUAUCCUUCAUCUCUGGCAUUCAAAUCCAAUUUUCAGCCUUAUUUUGAGACAGAUCCGACCACUUUUCACCCUUUUUGAGCGGUUGACCAUUGCUGACCGCGAGAUGGCUAAUCCAAACAUCAGGAUAACAGAAGAUGCACCGUAUUUCGCGCGCCUAGUACUUUGCUUCGCUCGUGUAGACAAAUGAGGUGAAGUUGGUGUUUUCAGCUGAAAGAAGUUGAUAAGACGUCAGGUGGAAGAUAAUGAAAUUGUAUCUAUCUAGAGUGGAUGGAGUUUCUAUCGGUAUGAGCAGUGAGGAGUCGUGAUCUCAGGUCUAGUUGGGCACUAUCAUUGGUAGUACAUGAAUUAUUAGUAUUAUUAUCAGUCUAUUUUUAUCUUAGUUGAAUUAGCCAUUGUAAAUUUAAUUGUGGUUCUUGACAAAUACCUUGCUUAUCUAGUUAUGUAACUUUGCAUUUUGUGACAAAAUUCUGAAGCAUGACAAGUUAUUUUCCAUUA